UUGUACAUUGGUGUACGUGGUAGAUCAUAUAUACAAGAUCUUUAAUCAUGGGUGGCUGAUGUACAGAUGAUGCAUGACUAAGCAGCAUUGAUACAGUAACCAAUGAGAACAUUAUUCUUGAUACCAAUUAUUGUGAUUAGACAUUUUUUACAGGGUUGGCCUGAUAUGCUAUGAAGUCAAAAAUCAACAUCAUUAUCAUUUUUUUUCAUGAAAUUUGUUCGUGUCC
RNAcentral lists this long non-coding RNA (226 nucleotides) under Elaeis guineensis (African oil palm). Its description in RNAcentral is "long non-coding RNA (EGUI_LNC007088)". The record is from RNAcentral. Lineage: Eukaryota; Viridiplantae; Streptophyta; Magnoliopsida; Arecales; Arecaceae.